This is a long non-coding RNA of Phyllostomus discolor (pale spear-nosed bat), 3925 nucleotides long. RefSeq lists it as uncharacterized. The record is from RefSeq and is a predicted model, not a curated record. The transcript is spliced from 3 exons. Lineage: Eukaryota; Metazoa; Chordata; Mammalia; Chiroptera; Phyllostomidae.
UAAUACAAUACAAUAUAGUACAAUACAGUACAAUACAAGCAUACAGUUUGAAUUAAGGGAAAAAUAAUAUAUAUGGUAAAGAUAGAUAACAGAUGAUAGAGAAAUUUCAGUAAGUGUGCUUUUAAAGGGAUUUUCACAAUAUUCCCCCAGAAUGUUUCAAUUUGAAAAGUCCUACUUCCGAUCUCUCCUCACCCAGAAGCACGCCUGUGGACUUAUGGUUAUCGACCUAUGACAGGAUGGCUCUGGAAACUGAUAACAAGUUUUUAGAAACUUUUAUAGGAGUCUGAUGAGGAAAUCGCAUGUCCGUUUCAUCUAAUGAUAAAGUUUAGAGUUUCACUUUCUGUCUUUUUGUACUUUUUCUAAUAAUUCAUUUUUAUUAGAUUUUAUGAAAGAAUCAGCAGACUAUGCUGGAUUAGAAAUUUAAAAUAUGAAACUGUCCCUUUGCUAUAGGUCGUUUGAGAAGCAAGUCAUAAAAUUAUAUUUGGUUAAGGCUGAUGCUGUGGAUCCUUCCCAUCUCCGUGGUGUACAAAUCCACAGGUUUCAGCCAGCUAUCGUUUUUGCCUUUCCAGGAACUGUGAUUGGCCACCCUCCCUGUGAGAGGACUCAGAAGUGAGCUGAGAGAAAGGAAAGGACCACCCUUCUCUGCUCAGCAGCUGCAACCUGGAACUGUAAGUCAAGUAACAACCUUAGGAAUUCCACAGUCAGUUUUAGGCCAGUAGCUUGCCCAUCUUUACCAAAUGUUCUAAGGUUAUUAUUAACCUUUUUCUGCCUCUUCACGUAGCUCUGCAAAACACAGUGCUGGGUUUCAUUCAAUCCUUCACUGACACCACAAGAGGACUUUUCCCCACGAAUUCUAGGCUAACAGGCAGUGAACGUUGUGAGGAUCCGUUUUGGGGAACUGAAGUGGGGGCUGUGAUUUGCACCCAUCCCCCCUUCUUCUGGUGGCACACAGGUGACUGUGGAUUGGCAUCCCUGCAGGACAGAGCAGGCAUCCAUGGGGACGGGGCAUACCCUGGGAAGGCUGUGAGCCCGCAGGUUGCACCCCUUUCACCUUCCUUCGCUGCAAACCACAAAAUGUACAGCAGGCGAUUUCUCAGAUUUUUGUUUACUUUUGUGGCUCAUUUUCUGAGAAGAGAUAAGGGCUAACUUUCGAAUUCACUUCUGAGAAAAUAGACAAAAGGUAAUUGACCUUAGAGGACAUCUGCCUGUUUGUUGCUCCGCUGGUCUCACGACCAGCCUCGGGACCCCUGGGACCUAUAAUGCACAAAAUCUCUGCUAAUUGCCAGAUGGCCGGGCCGUCUCGCUUGUAGACUGACCCUCUUACUAGCAGCACAUAAAGCCUUUUCUUUUCUUACCUCCAAACCUUUCAACAAGAGGCUUUUGUCAGAAUUCAGUCCAUCUUGCUUCCAGGCAAUGCUCUGACGUGCCCCCCUGCCUGGGAGCUGCAGGGUAGACGUGAAUGUCGAGUUCAAGGUCUUGUCCUCCAGAUGUUGGAAAGAAAACCCGAAGAGAGCUCGGUCAUGGACUCAGCUGCAUGUUCCAAGGACUCGUAGCUCAGCCUGUCUGUCAGGACCCGUGGAAGGGUCUAAGGACCCUUGUAGCCAGUUCUGUUUAAACUGACAUCUGCUGAAGAGGUUGAGGCCAGACAGCUGCCCAGGUUCCUGUUUCUCCGAGAGGAGAAGUAAUCUGCCCAUUUAAAAAUGCCAAUAAAAAUAAAACGUAAAAGGUAACACUUCUUUCCUCUACCUGUAUGGAUGCCAGCAACUUCUCACCUCCCAGCCCUCAGCCAGCUGGGCCUGCGCCAUCACCAUUGCUCACCUGGACUGUUACAACAGCACCUGCGACUGACUCCCCACACAACAAACAGCCCGAGACGUCCUUAGAGAAGAUGAUGAAAUCACCAGAGCCCAGACUACUUAAGUAGCCCACCAGUUGCCAGCAAGCGAUGGAACUGUGACCCAAGCGCACUUCAUUCUGCUUGCAAACCAAGCGACCUGCCAGACUUUGCUCUCACAGUUAAUGGAGAGAGGCCCGUUUGUGCCUGCGGGAGACACGCGGAUCCUGCGGAGCUCUAGGCAGGUAAGAGGCAUAUUAAGAAAGAGAGAUGGUUAGAGUGAAACCCUGCCUUUCCCAGCAGGCAGGGUGAGAGAGGAAAAGGGUGGUUACCUGGACCAUCCCUGCUAUGGAGUGAAGCCUCGUGGUGGCUACUGGACCUCCAUGAGCUCACGUGGCUGCGAAGCUGGCAUCCUGUAAGUGCAUACGAUGAUGGGUAAGCCAGUCGACCCUGCAGGGGCUCUCUGGUGGACAUGGCCCCUGGCACACAUCAGCACAGCUUCUUGGGUUGUAGGACAUUUCAGAGACUGGAGCAAGUAUGCCAUUGCUUUCCCUAAAGCCUUUGCCUUCUCCUUUCCCUUUGUUGCAUUCAUCCCAGUUUGGGGAUGGUGGGACUGGCUGAGUUUUUAGAAACCAUUCCCUGGCCAUUUUUAUUCCCCGGGCCACCAUGUCUACAAAAUCUGAGUACAAUCCUGGAGUCCCGAUUGAACACAACCCUGUCACAGUCUAUAAGCUCCGUUCAGCUCCAUAUUCCUAGUGGGCAUGUCAUGGAUGUGUAGUCAGUAACUAAUGAAAUAGUAUGGAAUUAGUGAGCGAAGCUCAAAAGGUGUAUGUUAGGUUUGAUUGAAUGGAGUUACACUUACAAACAAGAAGACCCGACUCAGAAUUCUCUUGCUGUGAGGGGGUUGUGAUGGUCUUCUGCCACUCCUCUGAAGUCCUGAGUGAUACUACCUAUGCUGACAAAACAGCAAAAAUGUGUUUGUUCUGAAGCAUCUCUCUCACACACACUUCCCUUCAAUGUCCUUCUUAUGAGUUUUAGCGAGCUGUGGAGUGUUGAAUAGUGUAGCAAGCUACUGAGUGACUCCUGAUUUGCUGCCAGAGUGGGUAGACACACGGCCCUAGGGAGCAUGCAUGGGCUUUGGUGUUGUACUACGGCCCCUGCAACCUCUUGGUGAGUAAUUUGGGUGGUUGACUUAACUCUGAGACUCUGUAUCCUCUUCAGCAAAAUGGAACUGAUAACAGCCACUGAAUGGCAGGUGGGAAAAUCAUGAUGCAGUUGUAAUGGGUCACACAUCCAGAGGUUAGGUCAUUGUCCCAUCACUGUGCUCGGUGCUGUAGUGCCCCACUCAUAUUCCUUCUCAGGAUGGAGAAACUCAGUCCUGCCACUGCUGGGCAUGCGGGGUGCUGACAGCUUACAGCUGAGUUCCACGGCCCCCAGGCACUGCCCUCCAGUGGCCUUGCUCAAAGUCAUACCCCUUUUUGUGGGACAAUGUGCAUGGGUUCAAGGCUUGGCCCUCCUUAAUCCAGAGCAGCUCUGAAGGGCCAUCCCAUCUCCAGAAAUGCCUGGUGGAUCAGCUGCCGCUUUGUAGCAGCCGCCUUCACCCAGUGCUGCUUCUCUCGCUCCCUGGCUGAUGGUUGUACACAGAACACUGGCAGAGAUGUUCUGACUUCUACAAGAAAAUCUCCAUUUCAGAGUCCGUUUCCUGGAGUCUUGCCCGUUCCUUUGAAAUUUACUACUUACAGUAGACAGCUUUUCAAAGGUCAAAGUGUUACAUAGAUAAUUAACAUGUGGUGGAAUUGGGAUUCUGAUAAGAAUCCUGUGAUUUCAAGUCCAGGGCUCCUCUUGGCUCUGUCACUCUGUCCUGUACUCAUGAAACAAGGUGGAAGGAGUCACAACACAACAGGCCCAUGUGUUUUAGUUCAAGAAUCACCAUAUUCUGGUGCUGGGCAACUUUUAUCAAGAUGUUGGCCAUCCUUUCAAAAUCACUGCGAUUCCCCCAGUUUUCUUACCUCUGAGCACAGACAGUCUGGGCCUCAGUCAGACACAGUAAGCUUUCUUAAAACUUGAGAUGCAUUAUUUUGUAUUCUUAUU